This is a long non-coding RNA of Oxyura jamaicensis (ruddy duck), 1505 nucleotides long. RefSeq lists it as uncharacterized. Lineage: Eukaryota; Metazoa; Chordata; Aves; Anseriformes; Anatidae. The record is from RefSeq and is a predicted model, not a curated record. The transcript has 2 exons.
GUAAAGCAGUCUUGUUAGCGCAAAAAGAAAAGGAGGUUGUAUUCUGGCACGGUUAGGGGAAAAAGGCAGUUUUAGCUUCUGCCACAAUACUUAAUCUCAGGAUAAAGCACUUUACAUUGUAGCUUAAAAUGAAGACUGUCAGUUUUCUAAAAAGACCAGAAUUCAUCUUAUCUUGUUUAACCUCACCUGGUUAACUAUCUAGCAGAGCAGAUUCAUUCUCUUUAACACAUAAUUACGGUUACACCUUUUAUCCCAUAGCUCACUAAUGACUUCUGAAAGCAGUCUUCAAAUAAGACUGGUUAGCGCCGCAGCCAUCCUCUGCACGCACAAGGCACGGUAAGAGAUUUGAGAAAGGCAGAACCAGAAACUGAGGCGAAACAGAAUCCAGGGGAAUUCUCUCACAUCAACUCUCAGUGCCAUUUUCUAAUUUCAUUGUCUGGCUUGAGUGGUGAAGGAUGCGUGCUCUAUUCUUCCCUUCACUUGACAUCUACCAGAACCCUCCUCGGCGAUUAGGAGCGAGCCCAGCACCAAGCCCGCACUAGCCCAGGACUCUAAAUUCUGCCCUCGGAUCCAAGAAACUCCCACUGGCUUCAGAGGUGUGGAUCCACGCUGCAACAGCUCCUGCACAGGCUUCAAGCAAGGCUGCAGCAUGCAGUUCGGUGAUUUUGUCCUAGGAAGCCCGAAUUUUAAUAACAGCCAAACAACCAACAGCAACACAGCCUCCCCUCCCCAACUUUGGUUUCUCCUGGGGUUAAUCACACGUAUUCAAAUGGUAUUUUUGUGACUGUGAUUCAGUUACAACUUGAGCCAAUUUUCAUCUUCAGUGCUCAAGAAUUACAAGCAUGUUUGUAUGUUACCAUUUUUUUUGAGAACAAUACGAGGGACUAGCUUAUUUUUUAGUGCUGCACAGCUUCCAGGCAGUCUUUACAAAAUACCUUUCCCCUUUACUUUCUUCAGGAUUUACAAAUAGGUUUCUGUUUGAACUGUAAGCUAAUUAUUUGUUAAAUAUUUAAAUAAGGAGCGUUUGGACAAAUGGCUGUCCCGAACUAAUUUGAAAGAGAGAUCGCUUUUUUGUUUUUCUUUCCUGCUGAAAAUACUUCCCAACACACCCCUUGUGAUUAGCCAGCUAUCAGUACGUGUAUGUGCCAUUAGAUCCAUUAUUUUUAAGCCUUUCGGGCAGCUAGUCAUUAGAUAAACCAAAUAUGGAUUAACAUAGCAAAACUGUACAUUGCUAAGAAAACAGAGAAUAAAGUGCUACAAAACACUGUGAAUACCACUUAAAAGGAAGAAAAAGCAGCAACAUGCAGGGACAAGAUUAGUUUACAGUGUAAAUGGAUGAACACAGUAACUCCUCUACACUUUAUACCAUCGUAAAUCUGUCAAGAUAAGCCAAUAGAUUCAUAUUUUAAAAAAAUCCUUAAAUGUAAAUGUAUUUAGCUGUUGUGCAAAAAUGAAUUACAACCUACAGAAGAUAAAUAAUAAAGGCUUUCUAUCAGCAUCCCAAA